RNAcentral lists this ribosomal RNA (301 nucleotides) under uncultured bacterium. RNAcentral's name for it is "partial 16S ribosomal RNA". It matches the Rfam family "Bacterial small subunit ribosomal RNA", at positions 509 to 807 of the family's 1533-position model. The record is from RNAcentral.
CAGUCGCCGCGGGAACACGAAGGGUGCAAGCGUUAAUCGGAAUUACUGGGCGUAAAGCGUGCGUAGGCGGUUUGUUAAGUCUGCUGUGAAAUCCCCGGGCUCAACCUGGGAAUGGCAGUGGAUACUGGCAAGCUAGAGUGUGUCAGAGGAUGGUGGAAUUCCCGGUGUAGCGGUGAAAUGCGUAGAGAUCGGGAGGAACAUCAGUGGCGAAGGCGGCCAUCUGGGACAACACUGACGCUGAGGCACGAAAGCGUGGGGAGCAAACAGGAUUAGAUACCCCCGUAGUCCCUGUCUCUUAUAC